Molecule: long non-coding RNA, 609 nt
Organism: Daphnia magna
Lineage: Eukaryota; Metazoa; Arthropoda; Branchiopoda; Diplostraca; Daphniidae
Exons: 2
Source: RefSeq, a predicted model, not a curated record
UCGAGUACACCUAUAGAGCGCAAAAACUCCAAAAACAUCUUGUGUAUCGAAUUUACCACACUAGAACAGACACUAUGGCUUACAGUCUCUCCAAUAAAUCAAAUAAAUUACCACACAGGAUAUGAGAUAUAGCUGUCUUGCUAUUUCACUAGUCUAAAGCAAUUUCAACCAUUUUAAUGUUCCCUUGAUUUGUUGCUAGGUGGCCGAGGCGUGCCUCGGCAAGAUUUGAAGUAGACGAAUUUGGCGUGGUUUUUGACGAAACAAAUGAUCUGUUGUCGUUAUCCAAACGAUAAGAAAGCGGAAGUGGGUCUUCCGACGAAUCUUCACUCGAUUGCUCUCUUGAGGCUGACAGUAAAGGGACGUAACAUCUGAAAAACAGAUAGUAGGCUAACUCUAUGAUACCGAUGAAGCUCAAGCCUAAGCCAAGGCUAAGAAUACCACCAACAGCAGCUGUGAAAAUAAAUCAUCAUGAUAAAUUAUCUCCAUUAUAUCAAUUACAUUCUCAAAUGACCAAGGCAUCUUUACCAAUAAAGUUCUCUAUGCCGUAGUAGACUUGUGUCUUGUAUAGGAAACUUGUCUUCUCCUUGUAAUAAACAUGAAGAGUUGCUA